This 425-nucleotide ribosomal RNA is filed under the name uncultured bacterium. RNAcentral describes it as "bacterial SSU rRNA". It matches the Rfam family "Bacterial small subunit ribosomal RNA", at positions 355 to 796 of the family's 1533-position model. The record is from RNAcentral.
UAGGGAAUUUUCCACAAUGGACGAAAGUCUGAUGGAGCAACGCCGCGUGCAGGAGGAAGGCCCUCGGGUCGUAAACUGCUUUUAUUGGUGACGAUUUUGACGGUAGCCAAUGAAUAAGGGUCUGCUAACUACGUGCCAGCAGCCGCGGUCAUACGUAGGACCCAAGCGUUAUCCGGAAUUACUGGGCGUAAAGAGUUGCGUAGGUGGCAUAGUAAGCAAAUAGUGAAAGCGUGAGGCUCAACCUCAUAUCCAUUAUUUGAACUGCUAAGCUAGAGUAUGGGAGAGGUAGAUGGAAUUUCUAGUGUAGGAGUGAAAUCCGUAGAUAUUAGAAGGAACACCGAUGGCGUAGGCAGUCUACUGGCCCAUUACUGACACUAAGGCACGAAAGCGUGGGGAGCGAACGGGAUUAGAUACCCCCGUAGUCC